GAAGAUGGGCACAACCGAAUACCAGCCGGGCGCAUGCUCACAAGUCCGUAAAGGUGAUGGCACCGCAACCCUCUUUCCUCCCCGUUUGAGGAUUUCUAAGCUACCGCGAGAGAAAUAGAGAGAAUGGGGAGUGAAAGUCGGAGCACCGCCGUUGUAGCCGCAUACUGGUGUUUGCCGCAAACGGGUCCGAUCGGGAGUCUUCAUCAGAGAGCGGUGAAGGUUGCAGCGGUUCCGGUGCUGGGAGAAGACCACUGGGGGCCAUGAGAUUUCUCACCAGAGCCAGGGAAGGGCCACCGGCCGCACCACGCCGUGGCCAAACAUCGUCGCGUCAUCAUCGUCGGUGAGUCCUCGUCGAUCAAGCUCGCUUCGUCCCUCUGCGUGUAGAGUAGACUAGAACAUGGUUUGGAGCCUGACGUGCUGGAUUGGGCAUUCCGUGCAUGGCGCCACAGUGGAUGGAAGGGCGCCGCCGCCCGGUGCCGGCUAUGGGAGGAGAUGCGAAGGAGACCUAAUCUUAGGAAAAAAACAAAACUAUUUUUGUAGGUAUCUAUAUGCUUGAAUGUUUGUUCUUAUGAUACCUGUUUGAUUUGGUUCUUUGGUUGAGUGAGAUGGGUUAUGGAGUAAUAUACACAAUUGCAUAUGCAUACACAUAUAGACAAAAAAAUGUUUAUAAGAUAAUUAGACAACCUAGAUUAUCCUCCAUUCAAAUGUAUCUAGCGUCACAGAUCCCUCUUAUCUUAACAGAUUCUAUCUUAUCCUUGGAGAUUCAUCUUAUAAACAUAGUUAUCCCAACCUAGACACAACGCCGCCAACCAAAAUUCUUUCUAACCUCCUUCAGCUGGGAACCAACUACUAGGCUAUCUGUUACAUCUACUAAAUUAUUUCUCUUGCAAAGUUAUCAUACCCUAUGUCUUUAACCCAGAUGGUUAAUACCAGGAGGGGAGGAGGUGUCGACUAC
RNAcentral lists this long non-coding RNA (955 nucleotides) under Zea mays. Its description in RNAcentral is "long non-coding RNA (ZMAY_LNC001608)". The record is from RNAcentral. Lineage: Eukaryota; Viridiplantae; Streptophyta; Magnoliopsida; Poales; Poaceae.